This 508-nucleotide ribosomal RNA is filed under the name uncultured bacterium. Its description in RNAcentral is "bacterial SSU rRNA". It matches the Rfam family "Bacterial small subunit ribosomal RNA", at positions 15 to 518 of the family's 1533-position model. The record is from RNAcentral.
GAUUAUGGCUCAGGAUGAACGCUGGCGGCGUGCCUAACACAUGCAAGUCGAACGAAGCACUGCGGAUGGAGAUUCGUCAAAAUCUGCUUUGACUUAGUGGCGGACGGGCGAGUAAUGUGUGAGCAACCUGCCUUUCAGAGGGGGACAACAGUUGGAAACGACUGCUAAUACCGCAUAAUGUAUUGGAAGGGCAUCCUUUUGAUACCAAAGGAGCAAUCCGCUGAAAGAUGGGCUCACAUCUGAUUAGCUAGUUGGUGGGGUAACGGCCUACCAAGGCUGCGAUCAGUAGCCGGACUGAGAGGUUGAACGGCCACAUUGGGACUGAGAUACGGCCCAGACUCCUACGGGAGGCAGCAGUGGGGAAUAUUGGGCAAUGGGCGAAAGCCUGAACCCCAGCAACGCCGCGUGAAGGAAGAAGGUCUUCGGAUUGUAAACUUCUUUUAUGAGGGACGAAGGACGUGACGGUACCUCAUGAAUAAGCCACGGCUAACUACGUGCCAGCAGCUGC